AUUGAACGCUGGCGGCAGGCCUAACACAUGCAAGUCGAACGGUAACAGAAAGCAGCUUGCUGCUUUGCUGACGAGUGGCGGAUGGGUGAGUAAUGUCUGGGAAACUGCCUGAUGGAGGGGGAUAACUACUGGAAACGGUAGCUAAUACCGCAUAACGUCGCAAGACCAAAGAGGGGGACCUUCGGGCCUCUUGCCAUCGGAUGUGCCCAGAUGGGAUUAGCUAGUAGGUGGGGUAACGGCUCACCUAGGCGACGAUCCCUAGCUGGUCUGAGAGGAUGACCAGCCACACUGGAACUGAGACACGGUCCAGACUCCUACGGGAGGCAGCAGUGGGGAAUAUUGCACAAUGGGCGCAAGCCUGAUGCAGCCAUGCCGCGUGUAUGAAGAAGGCCUUCGGGUUGUAAAGUACUUUCAGCGGGGAGGAAGGGAGUAAAGUUAAUACCUUUGCUCAUUGACGUUACCCGCAGAAGAAGCACCGGCUAACUCCG
This 488-nucleotide ribosomal RNA is filed under the name uncultured bacterium. Its description in RNAcentral is "partial 16S ribosomal RNA". It matches the Rfam family "Bacterial small subunit ribosomal RNA", at positions 30 to 505 of the family's 1533-position model. The record is from RNAcentral.